Molecule: ribosomal RNA, 253 nt
Filed under: uncultured bacterium
Lineage: Bacteria
Description: partial 16S ribosomal RNA
Rfam family: Bacterial small subunit ribosomal RNA
Source: RNAcentral
UACAGAGGGUGCGAGCGUUAAUCGGAAUUACUGGGCGUAAAGCGCGUGUAGGCGGCUUUUCAAGUCGAUUGUGAAAUCCCCGGGCUUAACCUGGGAACUGCAGUCGAGACUGUCUAGCUAGAGUAUGGGAGAGGGAAGUGGAAUUUCAGGUGUAGCGGUGAAAUGCGUAGAUAUCUGAAGGAACAUCAGUGGCGAAAGCGACUUCCUGGACCAAUACUGACGCUCAUGUGCGAAAGCGUGGGGAGCAAACAGG